GUACACGCUGUGACUAGCAUAUCAAUAAGCGGAGGAAAAGAAACUAACAAGGAUUCCCCUAGUAACGGCGAGUGAAGCGGGAAGAGCUCAAAUUUGAAAUCUUAAAGGGUUUCCCUUUACGAAUUGUAGUUUAAAGAAGUGUUUUCUGUUGAGGUUUUGGUAAAAGUUCUUUGGAAUAGGACAUCAUAGAGGGUGAGAAUCCCGUAUUUGACCUUUACUUUCAACUUUGUGAUACACUUUCAAAGAGUCGGAUUGUUUGGGAAUGCAGUCCAAAAUGGGUGGUAAAUUUCAUCUAAAGCUAAAUAUUGGCGAGAGACCGAUAGCGAACAAGUACCGUGAGGGAAAGAUGAAAAGAACCUUGAAAAGAGAGUUAAACAGUACGUGAAAUUGUCAAAAGGGAAGCGUUUGACACCAGUGUUGUUUUUCUGAAAAUCAAUUAAAGAACUGUUUAUGCUAAGCUGUUUAGACUUUAUCAGCUAUCUGUUUAGUUUUGAGCUUUUCUUUAAUGCACUUUUCAGUUAACAAGUCAACAUCAAUUUCUUUUGCUGUAAAAAAGCUUGAGGAAGGUGGCUUGAGAUUCGUCUUAAGUGUUUAUAGCCUCUUGCCUAUGCAGUCGGAGAGAUUGAGGUCUGCAGCGUAGAUCCUUCGGGGCUAAAUGCAUUUGUGCUAAGUUAUAGCAUUUUAUAGACAACUUGUUGACUAUGAUUUGUCUUGUAGCUUACUCGCUUAUGUUAUUUUACCUACGCUUAGGAUGUUGAAGUCAUCGUAUCGCGC
This 774-nucleotide ribosomal RNA is filed under the name uncultured Neocallimastigales. RNAcentral describes it as "partial large subunit ribosomal RNA". It matches the Rfam family "Eukaryotic large subunit ribosomal RNA", at positions 22 to 645 of the family's 3401-position model. The record is from RNAcentral. Lineage: Eukaryota; Fungi; Neocallimastigomycota; Neocallimastigomycetes; Neocallimastigales.